UACGGGGGGAGCAAGCGUUGUUCGGAAUUACUGGGCGUAAAGGGCUCGUAGGCGGCCAACUAAGUCAUACGUGAAAUCCCUCGGCUUAACCGGGGAACUGCGUCUGAUACUGGAUGGCUUGAGAUUGGGAGAGGGAUGCGGAAUUCCAGGUGUAGCGGUGAAAUGCGUAGAUAUCAGGAAGAACACCCGUGGCUAAGGCGGUUCUCUAGUACGGUACUGACGCUGAGACGCGAAAGCGUGGGGAGCGAACAGG
RNAcentral lists this ribosomal RNA (253 nucleotides) under uncultured bacterium. RNAcentral describes it as "partial 16S ribosomal RNA". It matches the Rfam family "Bacterial small subunit ribosomal RNA", at positions 524 to 776 of the family's 1533-position model. The record is from RNAcentral.